UUAUCUCUGUAGAGUCUGCAUAUCAAUAAGCGGAGGAAAAGAAACUAACUAGGAUUCCCUUAGUAACGGCGAGUGAAGCGGGAAGAGCUCAAAUUUGAAAUCUUCAAGGUUCUACCUUGACGAAUUGUAGUUUAAAGAAGUGUUUUCUGUUGGAGUUUUGGUAAAAGUUCUUUGGAAUAGGACAUCAUAGAGGGUGAGAAUCCCGUAUUUGACCAUUUCUUCCAGCUGUGUGAUACACUUUCAAAGAGUCGGAUUGUUUGGGAAUGCAGUCCAAAAUGGGUGGUAAAUUUCAUCUAAAGCUAAAUAUUGGCGAGAGACCGAUAGCGAACAAGUACCGUGAGGGAAAGAUGAAAAGAACUUUGAAAAGAGAGUUAAACAGUACGUGAAAUUGUCAAAAGGGAAGCGUUUGACACCAGUGUUGUUUUCUCGAAAAUCAAUUAAAAAUGGCCGGAUUUUGUGUUGUAUUGACUUUAUCAGCUUUCUGCACUUUUUUCUUGUCUUUUUUAAUGCACUUUUCGUUUAACAAGUCAACAUCAAUUUCUUUUGUUGUAAAAGAGUCAUUGGAAGGUGGCUUUCACUUCGGUGAAAGUGUUUAUAGCCUUUGACUUCUGCAAUCGGAGAGAUUGAGGUCUGCAGCGUAGAUCCUUCGGGGUUAGAUACAUUUGUGCUAAGCUAUAGCCUUUUAUAGACAACAUUGUUGACUAUGCUCAGUCAUGUAGCUUACUCGCUUAUGCUAUUUUACCUACGCUUAGGAUGUUGAACGCGCACAGAGUCUC
This 776-nucleotide ribosomal RNA is filed under the name uncultured Neocallimastigales. RNAcentral describes it as "partial large subunit ribosomal RNA". It matches the Rfam family "Eukaryotic large subunit ribosomal RNA", at positions 24 to 611 of the family's 3401-position model. The record is from RNAcentral. Lineage: Eukaryota; Fungi; Neocallimastigomycota; Neocallimastigomycetes; Neocallimastigales.